This 288-nucleotide long non-coding RNA is filed under the name Musa acuminata (dwarf banana). Its description in RNAcentral is "long non-coding RNA (MACU_LNC009918)". The record is from RNAcentral. Lineage: Eukaryota; Viridiplantae; Streptophyta; Magnoliopsida; Zingiberales; Musaceae.
AGAGAUUGUGUUACCUAGGGAGAUUGUAUAUCCCUGUUUCCUUGUAAAUCCUUAGGAGAGGGUGAAGGAGGUCAAGCGUCCUCCUCUCUAGCGGUGAUCCACACAGCAGGGUUGCGACGACGCUCCUCAAAACUCCAGGCCUACUCUGAGGUGGAGAGGGAGAGGAGAAUAGGAAAGGCAAGCAAAGACUCUAGCCUAUGAGGCUGUGAAUCCCUCCUAUUUAUAGAGAUCCCGUGUCGAACCCUAAUGGGUCCUUCCCUAGUGGGUAUUGGAUCUGCAUCCAAUAAG